This is a long non-coding RNA of Trichomycterus rosablanca, 506 nucleotides long. RefSeq lists it as uncharacterized. The record is from RefSeq and is a predicted model, not a curated record. The transcript has 3 exons. Lineage: Eukaryota; Metazoa; Chordata; Actinopteri; Siluriformes; Trichomycteridae.
GGAAGGCUGGUGCAAACAAGGAUAUGGGCUGAGGGAAGUGCAAACUGGGAUGUCACCUUUGGACCCAAAUACAAAGUUUGCCUCACUUGCACGUCUUUGGACUGUGGGAGGAAACCCACGCAGACACGGGGAGGACAUGCAAACUCCACACAGAAAGGACUCAGACCGCUUCACCUGGGAAUCGAACCAAGGACAUUCUUGCUCUGAGGCGACAGUGCUUCCCACUGAGCCACCAUGCUGUCCACAGCAACCCAGAUAGUUUACUCAUCAUAGAGGGUCAUCUUCCAGAAAAGUGAGCCAAAAAAUCAAAGGAGGAUGGGGGAGCUGGAGAAAUAAAGAAAGAGGACAUCGGGUCUUGGAUUCUAAAGGCACCUUGGAUGUUUAUCAGCUUCAUUUGCUUUUGUCUAAGACAACUGAGAUUCUAGAAUUACACAUAAAUGCAGUAGAGUCCAAAAACGUGUAAUUAUGAGAAAUGGAUUCAUAAAAUUUACAUAAAAAUUGACAAC